GGAUCCAGACUUUGAUUAUGGCUCAGGAUGAACGCUAGCUACAGGCCUAACACAUGCAAGUCGAGGGGAAACGGCAGCUUAGCUUGCUAAGCUGGACGUCGACCGGCGCACGGGUGAGUAACGCGUAUCCAACCUGCCCCACGGUGAGGGAUAACCCGCGGAAACGCGGCCUAAUACCUCAUGGUCUCCGAGCUUGCCAUCAACCUUGGAGUAAAGAUUCAUUGCCGUGGGAUGGGGAUGCGUCUGAUUAGCUUGUUGGCGGGGCAACGGCCCACCAAGGCAACGAUCAGUAGGGGUUCUGAGAGGAAAGCCCCCCACAUUGGAACUGAGACACGGUCCAAACUCCUACGGGAGGCAGCAGUGAGGAAUAUUGGUCAAUGGGCGAGAGCCUGAACCAGCCAAGUAGCGUGCAGGAAGACGGCCCUAUGGGUUGUAAACUGCUUUUAUGCGGGGAUAAAGCGGGCGACGUGUCGCCCUUUGCAGGUACCGCAUGAAUAAGGACCGGCUAAUUCCGUGCCAGCAGCCGCGGUAAUACGGAAGGUCCGGGCGUUAUCCGGAUUUAUUGGGUUUAAAGGGAGCGCAGGCCGGGUAUUAAGCGUGUUGUGAAACGUAGGCGCCCAACGUCUGCACCGCAGCGCGAACUGGUGCCCUUGAGUACGCACGACGUUGGCGGAAUUCGCCGUGUAGCGGUGAAAUGCUUAGAUAUGGCGAAGAACUCCGAUUGCGAAGGCAGCUGACGGGAGCGCUACUGACGCUCAUGCUCGAAAGCGCGGGUAUCGAACAGGAUUAGAUACCCUGGUAGUCCGCGCGGUAAACGAUGGAUGCCCGCUAUUUGCGCAUUAGCGCAAGUGGCCAAGUGAAAACGUUAAGCAUCCCACCUGGGGAGUACGCCGGCAACGGUGCAACUCAAAGGAAUUGACGG
Molecule: ribosomal RNA, 922 nt
Filed under: uncultured Bacteroidota bacterium
Lineage: Bacteria; Pseudomonadati; Bacteroidota
Description: bacterial SSU rRNA
Rfam family: Bacterial small subunit ribosomal RNA
Source: RNAcentral